This 522-nucleotide ribosomal RNA is filed under the name uncultured bacterium. RNAcentral's name for it is "bacterial SSU rRNA". It matches the Rfam family "Bacterial small subunit ribosomal RNA", at positions 8 to 525 of the family's 1533-position model. The record is from RNAcentral.
AGAGUUUGAUCMUGGCUCAGAUUGAACGCUGGCGGAAUGCUUUACACAUGCAAGUCGAACGGCAGCACGGACUUCGGUCUGGUGGCGAGUGGCGAACGGGUGAGUAAUAUAUCGGAACGUAUCCAAUAAUGGGGGAUAACUAAUCGAAAGGUUGGCUAAUACCGCAUACGCCCUACGGGGGAAAGCUAGGGACCUUCGGGCCUGGCGUUAAUGGAGCGGCUGAUAUCUGAUUAGCUAGUAGGUGAGGUAAAAGCUCACCUAGGCGACGAUCAGUAGCUGGUCUGAGAGGACGACCAGCCACACUGGAACUGAGACACGGUCCAGACUCCUACGGGAGGCAGCAGUGGGGAAUUUUGGACAAUGGGCGAAAGCCUGAUCCAGCCAUUCCGCGUGAGUGAAGAAGGCCUUCGGGUUGUAAAGCUCUUUCGCAAGGGAAGAAAACUUAGUCUCUAACAUAGACUGAGGUUGACGGUACCUUGAUAAGAAGCACCGGCUAACUACGUGCCAGCAGCCGCGGUAAUA